AUUGAACGCUGGCGGCAGGCCUAACACAUGCAAGUCGAGCGGAUGAAGGGAGCUUGCUCCUGGAUUCAGCGGCGGACGGGUGAGUAAUGCCUAGGAAUCUGCCUGGUAGUGGGGGAUAACGUCCGGAAACGGGCGCUAAUACCGCAUACGUCCUGAGGGAGAAAGUGGGGGAUCUUCGGGCCUCACGCUAUCAGAUGAGCCUAGGUCGGAUUAGCUAGUUGGUGGGGUAAAGGCCUACCAAGGCGACGAUCCGUAACUGGUCUGAGGGGAUGAUCAGUCACACUGGAACUGAGACACGGUCCAGACUCCUACGGGAGGCAGCAGUGGGGAAUAUUGGACAAUGGGCGAAAGCCUGAUCCAGCCAUGCCGCGUGUGUGAAGAAGGUCUUCGGAUUGUAAAGCACUUUAAGUUGGGAGGAAGGGCAGUAAGUUAAUACCUUGCUGUUUUGACGUUACCAACAGAAUAAGCACCGGCUAACUUCGUG
Molecule: ribosomal RNA, 484 nt
Filed under: uncultured bacterium
Lineage: Bacteria
Description: partial 16S ribosomal RNA
Rfam family: Bacterial small subunit ribosomal RNA
Source: RNAcentral